GACGAACGCUGGCGGCGUGCUUAACACAUGCAAGUCGAACGGAAAGGCCCUGCUUUUGUGGGGUGCUCGAGUGGCGAACGGGUGAGUAACACGUGAGUAACCUGCCCUUGACUUUGGGAUAACUUCAGGAAACUGGGGCUAAUACCGGAUAGGAGCUCCUGCUGCAUGGUGGGGGGUGGAAAGUUUCGGCGGUUGGGGAUGGACUCGCGGCUUAUCAGCUUGUUGGUGGGGUAGUGGCUUACCAAGGCUUUGACGGGUAGCCGGCCUGAGAGGGUGACCGGACAAAUUGGGAUUGAGAUACGGCCCAGACUCCUACGGGAGGCAGCGGUGGGGAAUAUUGCACAAUGGGCGGAAGCCUGAUGCAGCAACGCCGCGUGCGGGAUGACGGCCUUCGGGUUGUAAACCGCUUUCGCCUGUGACGAAGCGUGAGUGACGGUAAUGGGUAAAGAAGCACCGGCUAACUACGUG
Molecule: ribosomal RNA, 468 nt
Filed under: uncultured bacterium
Lineage: Bacteria
Description: partial 16S ribosomal RNA
Rfam family: Bacterial small subunit ribosomal RNA
Source: RNAcentral